UUGAGAUGAUGUUGGGGUGAU
Molecule: non-coding RNA, 21 nt
Filed under: Rattus norvegicus (Norway rat)
Lineage: Eukaryota; Metazoa; Chordata; Mammalia; Rodentia; Muridae
Source: RNAcentral